GGAGAGACAGCCAACUGUUCCCGCUCUUUUUCAGCAGAGCAUUCUUGAAUGGCUCCAUGGUUGUAGUUGCGUAGCAGAAGAAAUAAAAAACUGCUGCAUUGGAGAGACGACCAACUGUUCCCGCUCUUUCAUGUGUUUCAGGGCCAAGACACCCUACAUUAUCCAGCUCCUCUCGGCGGAUCCUGAGGACUUCCCAGGUCAGUUCAGAGGCAUAAUUUCUGCAACGUGUCCUGUGUCUUCCUCAAGGUGAGAACCAUGACCACAGACUUUAAGGUGCUAAUUCUCAUCCCUGCCACAAACCGAUCCUUGAAGAUCAUGGCAGCAGGACCAGCAGGACCAAAUCCUGCAGCCACCAAAUUGGAUCCCCUAAACACCCUAAAUCGGUGACAACGGGAAGGCAUGGCUGAGUCAAACACUCAAUGGAAACGAGUCUGAAUCAGGUCCUCCUCCCCAGAACGCCUGAAUAGACCUCACCAGGAAGGCAGAAAAUAGUCGGAACACACCCUCCAGUCUCCCUUCUUAAAAAGGGGGACCAUCACCUAAGAGGGGUGGGGGGAGAGGAUCCAAGUCCAUUUGUCUUACUCAUCAUCAGGGCUUAUUUGAGCUAUGCUUUGUCUUAUUACAUAUAUAUACAUACAUAUACAUACAUACAUAUACAUACAUAUAUAUACAUACAUAUACAUACAUAUAUAUACAUACAUAUACAUACAUAUACAUACAUAUAUAUACAUAUUACAUAUAUAAAAUGUAUUUCCUAAAAUUAUAAUUUUGAUUAAAAUGUUCACUAGAAAUCUCUGAAACUGCAUUAUUUAAAAACAUAACAAAAUAAGUCAAUAAAGCAAAGGCAAAGGCGUGGCUCAUGGAUCAGAAACUUCCGCAGGAAUGGAUUGGAUAUUUUUCCGAUUUGUGAAUUAUUUUGAUAUUGGAACCACAUACCGAUAUUGAAUAGAUUGCAGUAUUACAGCAUACACUUUAUUACGUUGAUAAUAUUGCUUCUUUAUUCGGCCAUCUUGCAUCCAUUACACCCAAUAGUAAAUCUUGCAAUGUCACUUGUUUAGAAUAAAAAACACAAACUCGUCAUAUUGCCAACGUAUCACCAAAUCACAUUACCAAAGAUUCCCCAUUGGUGAAUCAACUUAUUAAUACAAUGCAUAUGUUCAUAAUGUGUGUUUAUUAUAAAACAUGCCUGAUAGCAUGCCCUCAACUCCCACCCGGAAGUAAUCGCUCCAUCUAUGAUGCCACCAUUUAACUCUAGUUCUUUUAUUGAUUACAGCUGCAAAAUAACCCACCAUAAGGACCAAGAAAGUUUCAAGAACCAGCUCUUUGAUAAGGUAGAAACCAUAGUACCACUGUGAAAAUGUACACUGUAAAAAAAACUGUAGUUUUUACGGUAAAAACUGGCAGCUGGGUUGCCAGAAUUUUACCGUAAAAAAAGCGAUGACACCGCUUUUCCAUUUACAGGAAUAGCGAUACACAGUGUCGCGUUCAGUGUCCCUCGUAUUUUAGAGAACUCUACCCCCCUUCUAUUGUCUCAUGUCCAGAGAAAUGUACCUUACCUUGAAUUCAUCUGGCAGCAUCCUGCGUAGUUUCUUCUCACCCAGAACACGGAAGCACUGCUCCAGCAUCUCCUUUUUGUCGCUCACAUAAGCGGUGAUGGGCUGGAAUGGCACCCCGAGAUCGAGCCCACCUUCCUCAAUGUCACUGCCAACCCUGUCCAGGUCUGGGUCAGCGAGAUCAUCUUUAGAGUCCUGAAUGAACAUAGGUGUACUAACUUCAAUUAUUAAGGUCAAAGUAAAGCAGCAUUCUAAGAGUUUAACCCAUAUAAAAAAACAAAUAAUUACUACUCUUACGAAAGCUACAGAUGGUCCACAAACUCAUCACCAUUUUAGCUUCUAUGCAAGCUUUGCAAAUCUCACCUCUUUGUUACCGUCGGCGCUUCUACGUUUACUCCCACGAUGCCGCUCAUCGGUCGGGGCGUGUUUCCGUUUCUUUUCGCCACUACUUGACUUCUUUUUAAGCAUUUUAAGCGACAAAAAACCUCCAAAUAUAUUACUCACGCUUGGUUAAUGAUAGCUGUGGCUGUUUGUGAUGAGCGGCGCAUGGUGAUGACGUCAUCAGCCAGCGUCUGUUUCAGCUUUUUUUCUUCUUCUACGGAAAGAACAACAACUGUGAUAUGUUCCCAUCUAACGGCAAAAUGGUGGUACUUUGGGUGAAUUACAAAAGGAUUUGUUAUUUUUUAACCAGUACUUUUCUUUUUAUGAUAGAAUAGAAUCUAUACAUGUUUAACAUAUUAUUUGUAACGAAAAAAAUGAUUUUAAAAAAUUAAAAUUUUUUAAUGUUAAUAAUAGUACUAAUAAUGGUGUAGGGCUAACUGGAUUUCAUGAUGGUUCCUCACUUUCUAAAACACUACUUGUCACCAACCGGGUAUCAUAUACUGUGUGUCCUUUAACCAGCACACGAAUGCAUCUUUCAAGGUGGUGUCGGCACACACAAGCUGUAAAUCACUCUAAUUGGCUUCCCUGCCUUUGGCUGAAAUAAGGCCCAGAAGCCUAGGCGAUAUAGUCCUGCCCAGGCGCCAUGGCGACAGCUGUCUCCACAUAAUGCAGGUUGUUAUCCUGAUGCCGUCCGCCAUAUUAUGCCCCGGAUAGGGUGGGCGGUUGCGCAUCGAUCACAAUCACUGUGGUGUGUUUUUCUUUUGCAACAUCUGCUCCCGUGUGCAUCCUGUUAAGAGGGUAAAGAUUGCACUGGUCCCGUAUUAGAGUGGAAUGCAAACCACAAGCUGUGUUUAAGUAUGUUUUUGUACGGUGAACAAAUGGUUAGCAUGUAGGCCACACAGUCAGGAGAACAGGAAGACGUGGGUUUGAUUCUCUGCUAGGGAAUCUGCGUGGAGUUUGCACGUUUUCCUUCCCACGUUCCAAAAUUGUAGUUAAUUGGUAUGAAUGUGAGUGUGAAUGGUUGUUUGACUAGAUGUGCCCUGUGAUUGGCUAGCGACCACUCCAGGGUGUUAGCUUGGAUAGGCUCCUGCGACCCUAAACAGGAUAAGCGGCAUAGAAAAUAGAUUAAUGGAUGUAAAGGAAAAUGCCAUAUUUUGCUACAAUAGUAAUAUUGGUGGCUCAACGACAAUAUUUUGUACCACCAAAAUACUACAAUAUUCUCAAAACAUUAUAUUUUGCCCCUAAAAUGCCUUGUUUGUAAAUGCUAAUUUAUGCUAUACUGUAUUUGAUUGACAGUGAAAAUAAUUUGUUACACAAUUUGCUCAAAACCACAGUAUUUUACCACCAAAGUUGUAUACUUUUCAGCCAAAAACUAUAGUUUGCAAAUGUCAAAUUCAGCUAUAUUUUGCCACAAUUACUAGUAGCUUAAAAACACUAUUUUGAGGUACCAAAAAUUGUAUUAGUCCCAACAAUAUAUUUAUUUACCUCCAAAAUAUAGACACAAUAUAGA
Doryrhamphus excisus (bluestripe pipefish) is the source of this 3444-nucleotide non-coding RNA. The record is from RefSeq and is a predicted model, not a curated record. NCBI's taxonomy places the organism in Eukaryota, Metazoa, Chordata, Actinopteri, Syngnathiformes, Syngnathidae.